UGGGCUUGACAUGCAUGGGAAGCCUCUGAGAGAUCAGGGGUGCUCUUCGGAGCUCAUGCAGCACCUGUGUCCAGGUUCCCUUUCGGGCACACCUCCAUCUCUGGAGGCUUCCGUACAUGUCAAGGGUAGGUAAGGUUUUUCGCGUUGCAUCGAAUUAAUCCACAUAAUCCACCGCUUGUGCGGGUCCCCGUCAAUUCCUUUGAGUUUUAAUCUUGCGACCGUACUCCCCAGGCGGAUGACUUCACGCGUUAGCUGCGUUACUAAAGGAUUUAACUCCUCCAACAACUAGUCAUCAUCGUUUAGGGCGUGGACUAC
Molecule: unclassified non-coding RNA, 315 nt
Filed under: uncultured Gammaproteobacteria bacterium
Lineage: Bacteria; Pseudomonadati; Pseudomonadota; Gammaproteobacteria
Description: contains 16S-23S intergenic spacer region
Source: RNAcentral